Molecule: transfer RNA, 77 nt
Filed under: Fusibacter sp. A1
Lineage: Bacteria; Bacillati; Bacillota; Clostridia; Eubacteriales; Fusibacteraceae
Also listed under: 1 other name
Description: tRNA-Met
Rfam family: tRNA
About the family: Transfer RNA (tRNA) molecules are approximately 80 nucleotides in length. Their secondary structure includes four short double-helical elements and three loops (D, anti-codon, and T loops).
Source: RNAcentral
GGCGGCGUAGCUUAGUUGGCUAGAGCGUUCGGUUCAUACCCGAGAGGUCGGUGGUUCGAGUCCACUCGCCGCUACCA